CAUUUUUGUGUUUUAUAUACAGUAUUAUGUUCUUUUGUGUUUUAUAUUUUGAGACUAAGAAACUCUAAUUCGUUUGGCCGUUGUUGGUGUAACAAUAACAUGCGCUGCCGGCCGAAUUGGGAACCGGGUUGAAAUUCGGCCUUCCGUUCGCACGAGAACCACGGAACCGGACGAAUUUGAGACCACCUAACAGGACCACGUACUGAUCUGAUAACAAGAUGAAUUCGCGUGUAAACAGGCGAAAAGGACAAAUUGCAGCCCGGUCCCAAAUUCGUCCGGUACCGUGUAAACGGUGUCCAAGUCGAACUUUAUCAACAAUACAACCGGAACCACGGUGUAAGACUAAAAUUAUAAAAAAUGCUAAUUAUGGUAUAUGCUGUUGAGUCGUUUUGAAAUUUGAGUGGAUUGUUGCAAGCUAAAGACUGUAUUAUUGUAUUGUGUAAAUUUUACAUAUUCCCUUGUGCGAGUAAAAUGCGCGCAUAGCAGAGUGGCAUGCGAGUUUAGGUUUUUGUCGAGGGUGGUAGGUCUAGUGUCGAGGGUCCAAAGUCGAGGAUAAAAAGUCAAGGGUCAUAUAAAAGAGUUGAGGGUCAAAUUAAAAAGUUGAGGGUCAUAUAUAAAAAGUCGAGGGUCAUAUUUUUUAAAAUAUUUAAUUUAUUUUAUUUUUAAACUACUGCCGAAGAUUAAUUUGUUGUGUUGGGGCUAAAACGUUUUACUGCCUGUGUUACCACUAGCUUUGCCAAUGUUUCUAGUAUCGUAGUAAGUAUUGCGGGCUCUUCGAUUUCGGGAACCUCCAAAAUAUACAAACUCGAAAGCAAAGUCAAAGAGCAUUUAUUAUAAAUAUUAACUUAAAAGAGUUUCUAAACGUAGUAUAAUUUCAUAAACAGACCAAUGUUCAACCUCGCAUCACGCAAGGGUCCCCGUCCUGUGGAGACCCUUGCUUGCGCGGUUGGCCAAUGUUUGGCCGUGUGACGAGCAAUAUUGAUUAUUGACGGAAUCACUUAGCAUGAAUUGGUUUCUUGAAACAGUGGCAUGUCUGCCCCGCUCUCAGAUCUGGCAGAAAACAUAUACGUUUUUUAUCAUAACUUGCUGUUGGUAAUAUAUUUUGCCAUUACUGGCUUGAGGAUUACAGCUGCCUGAUAAUCUAUGCUGUUACGUUAAUUUGAUAAGAAAGCAUGCAAAGAGACCGUUCUGAUAUUAGACAUAAAUAUUAAACUUGCGAGCGGGAAGGGACUCAAAGUACCCAGGGUCUUUCCUCUUGUGGAGAAAAGACCCUGGUGCAUGGACGCUGGUCACGUGAACUGCAAAAAUCUAGCAGAUUUCUAAUUAACUAUCUUGGCUUCCUUUACGACAAUUAUACAAAAAGC
Molecule: non-coding RNA, 1364 nt
Organism: Paramuricea clavata
Lineage: Eukaryota; Metazoa; Cnidaria; Anthozoa; Malacalcyonacea; Plexauridae
Source: the annotation of a GenBank genome assembly